This 847-nucleotide ribosomal RNA is filed under the name uncultured phototrophic eukaryote. Its description in RNAcentral is "bacterial SSU rRNA". It matches the Rfam family "Bacterial small subunit ribosomal RNA", at positions 38 to 913 of the family's 1533-position model. The record is from RNAcentral.
GGCUGGCGCUGCUUACCAUGCAGUUGACGAGCUUAGAUUUUUUAAAAUUUAAGCCAGUAGCGAACGGGUGAGUAACGCGUAAGAACUUACCUUUAGGUUAGGAAUAACUUUUGGAAACGAUAGCUAAUACCUAAUAAUCUAAAUAAAAUAGUGAAAAACAAAAAUUGCCUAAAGAUAGGCUUGCGUCUGAUUAGCUUGUUGGUAAUUUAAAAGAUUUACCAAGGCAACGAUCAGUAGUUGGUCUAAGAGGAUGAUCAACCACACUGGGACUGAGACACGGCCCAGACCUCUACGGAGGGCAGCAGUGAGGAAUUUUCCGCAAUGGGCGAAAGCCUGACGGAGCAAUGCCGCGUGAAGGAUGAAGGCUUGUGAGUUGUAAACUUCUUUUCUUAGUGAAGAAAAAGGACGGUAGCUAAGGAAUAAGCAUCGGCUAACUCCGUGCCAGCAGCCGCGGUAAUACGGAGGAUGCAAGCGUUAUUCGGAAUUAUUGGGCGUAAAGGGUCUGUAGGUGGUUUUUUAAGUCUACUGUUAAAUAUUAAGGCUUAACCUUAAAAAAGCGGUAUGAAACUAAAAAGCUUGAGUUUAGUAGGGGUAGAGGGAAUUCUCGGUGUAGUGGUGAAAUGCGUAGAGAUCGAGAAGAACACCGGCAGCGAAAGCGCUCUACUGGGCUAAAACUGACACUGAGAGACGAAAGCUAGGGGAGCAAAUAGGAUUAGAUACCCUAGUAGUCCUAGCUGUAAACGAUGGAUACUAAGUGUUGGAUUCUAAAAAAUUCAGUGCUGUAGCUAACGCAUUAAGUAUCCCGCCUGGGAAGUAUGCUCGCAAGAGUGAAACUCAAAGGAAUUGA